This 63-nucleotide transfer RNA is filed under the name Rattus norvegicus (Norway rat). It matches the Rfam family "tRNA". Rfam says of the family: Transfer RNA (tRNA) molecules are approximately 80 nucleotides in length. Lineage: Eukaryota; Metazoa; Chordata; Mammalia; Rodentia; Muridae. The record is from Rfam by way of RNAcentral.
GGGGAUUUAGCUCAGUGGCAGAGCACUUGCCUAGCAAGCACAAGGCCCUGAGUUCAGUCCCCA